GCGGCAUUAUAAAAGCCCCAGUCAGUGGUCGUCGUAUCUUUGUGUAGGACCACCGUUCUGACUUGCAACCUUUCAACUGAGAGCUCUUCACGAGUGUGGCGACAGCUGAACAACAUGGAUGGGAAACGGAUCAUCUUAGCUCUUGCUGCAAUGGCUGCACUCAUUUGCAGCGCCUUUGCUGUUCCUUCCGCUGAAGCAGAGUCAGCCGCCAGAUACAGCCCUGCUAAGUAAGAUCAGAUAACUGGGUGCUCUCCAACUACCUAAUGUCACCAUGGGGCAUGCCGACUACUGCAUGGGCAAGGAGUUAUACUGAAGCGAGAUUGCCAACCUAAUAGCAUGCAUGAUGAUCCAGUAAAGUACUUCGAACUGUA
Rhipicephalus microplus (southern cattle tick) is the source of this 371-nucleotide long non-coding RNA. RefSeq lists it as uncharacterized. Lineage: Eukaryota; Metazoa; Arthropoda; Arachnida; Ixodida; Ixodidae. The record is from RefSeq and is a predicted model, not a curated record.